RNAcentral lists this long non-coding RNA (404 nucleotides) under Trifolium pratense (red clover). RNAcentral's name for it is "long non-coding RNA (TPRA_LNC009351)". Lineage: Eukaryota; Viridiplantae; Streptophyta; Magnoliopsida; Fabales; Fabaceae. The record is from RNAcentral.
CUAAGGUACCUUCCAUCAUGUAGGUGAAAUUGCAAGUGGAUUUAGAGCUAAGAAUGAGUGGGAGUAGUUGGUGAAAGAAUGAAUAGGUUGGUGCUAGUCGGCGUGUGAAGAAGAAGGAAAGUUUAGCUUUCUGACUUCAUAUCUCAGGAAGUGAAAAAUGAAUCAUAUGGCUUAUAAUGAGAGUGUGAGUCUCACUUUGGUUCUUUCUUUGUUUUUAAGUAAUAAUAUGUGGUUCUCAUUACACAUGGUAUCUUACUUAUUCGAUAGCUUUACUCACUUAUUUUCAAUAAUCACCUCUAAUUAAUAUUUCUUGUCUUACUUAAAGUUGGAAUGUUACAUAACCCUUACCAACUUAUCCUUUAUACACCCUCCAAUUAGGUUAGUGUGAAAUUCCCAAAUUAAAC